UCCUCCGUGGCGCAAUUGGCUAGCGCGUCUGACUGUUACUUCACAUACGUGAUGGCAAUCAGGAGGUUGACAGUUCAAGCCUGUCCGGGGGAG
Molecule: transfer RNA, 93 nt
Filed under: Annulohypoxylon bovei var. microspora
Lineage: Eukaryota; Fungi; Ascomycota; Sordariomycetes; Xylariales; Hypoxylaceae
Description: tRNA-Asn
Rfam family: tRNA
About the family: Transfer RNA (tRNA) molecules are approximately 80 nucleotides in length. Their secondary structure includes four short double-helical elements and three loops (D, anti-codon, and T loops). Further hydrogen bonds mediate the characteristic L-shaped molecular structure. tRNAs have two regions of fundamental functional importance: the anti-codon, which is responsible for specific mRNA codon recognition, and the 3' end, to which the tRNAs corresponding amino acid is attached (by aminoacyl-tRNA synthetases). tRNAs cope with the degeneracy of the genetic code in two manners: having more than one tRNA (with a specific anti-codon) for a particular amino acid; and 'wobble' base-pairing, i.e. permitting non-standard base-pairing at the 3rd anti-codon position.
Source: RNAcentral